Molecule: ribosomal RNA, 253 nt
Filed under: uncultured bacterium
Lineage: Bacteria
Description: partial 16S ribosomal RNA
Rfam family: Bacterial small subunit ribosomal RNA
Source: RNAcentral
UACGUAUGGUGCAAGCGUUAUCCGGAUUUACUGGGUGUAAAGGGAGCGUAGACGGAUGGAUAAGUCUGAAGUGAAAGCCCGCGGCUCAACUGCGGGACUGCUUUGGAAACUGUGCAUCUUGAGUACGGGAGGGGCAGGCGGAAUUCCUGGUGUAGCGGUGAAAUGCGUAGAUAUCAGGAGGAACACCGGCGGCGAAGGCGGCCUGCUGGACCGAAACUGACGUUGAGGCUCGAAAGCGUGGGGAGCAAACAGG